GAUCCUGGCUCAGGAUGAACGCUGGCGGCGUGCUUAACACAUGCAAGUCGAGCGAAGCGCUUUUGCGGAUUUCUUCGGAUUGAAGCAACUGUGACUGAGCGGCGGACGGGUGAGUAACGCGUGGGUAACCUGCCUCAUACAGGGGGGAUAACAGUUGGAAACGGCUGCUAAUACCGCAUAAGCGCACAGUACCGCAUGGUACCGUGUGAAAAACUCCGGUGGUAUGAGAUGGACCCGCG
This 239-nucleotide ribosomal RNA is filed under the name uncultured bacterium. RNAcentral describes it as "partial 16S ribosomal RNA". It matches the Rfam family "Bacterial small subunit ribosomal RNA", at positions 15 to 235 of the family's 1533-position model. The record is from RNAcentral.